CUGGUUAAAACUGGAUACGUUUGUCAGUGGUCAUUUUGUGUUCUGUCCUAACUCCUAAGAGAAACUUGACUGACGGGAAACUUCCUGAAUGGAAUUAAGCUAACAUCUCCUUGGAACUCUAGCCUUCUACAAACACAGCAUUCACUGGAUCUACACUCAAAGUGAACGUCGCCACCACGGAAGUUUCACCUACAGUCAAAAUAAUGCUCGACCAGGGCUGAAACACGACGCUACUUCACUGUUAUAUGUAACAAAGUUUCUGUGUACUCCACUGACUACAACAGGAGUGCUAUUGAUCUAGUGCGCCAUUGUUGCAGCUGUGGUCGCGCUAUGUGUUUGACGGGUUGAAACUUAAAUGUCGGACAGACAAGAUGGCACGAGAUUCCCAUUGGCUGCUCCUGUCACGUCCUAAUACCUUUACUGAAUGUUUUUGAAGAUUUCAUGAUUGUAAAAGACUGACUUGACAUUGAACAAAAAAUAUUCUAUAUGAACUGUUCUUGUCCUAUAUAAAACAGAUUUUAAUUACAUUUUUCUUAUUUAAAAUGAAAAACCUUCAAUAGGUUGACUGACC
Long non-coding RNA from Sinocyclocheilus grahami, 571 nucleotides. RefSeq lists it as uncharacterized. The record is from RefSeq and is a predicted model, not a curated record. Lineage: Eukaryota; Metazoa; Chordata; Actinopteri; Cypriniformes; Cyprinidae. The transcript is spliced from 3 exons.